Long non-coding RNA from Gallus gallus (chicken), 884 nucleotides. Lineage: Eukaryota; Metazoa; Chordata; Aves; Galliformes; Phasianidae. The record is from Ensembl.
GUCAGAUCAAAUUGUAUGGACAGCAUGUAUAUUUAUGAACACAAUACCUCCAAACAGAGAUUAGAUACCACUACGCAAUGCAAAUGGAUGAAAGAUGAGUAACCGUAUGUCAUGUGAAACUCUUCAAUGAAACUAAAAACAUAAAUACUAAACUUUGCCCAGACAAGCACAUCACUGCUGCAGACAAGUUUUUAUUUCCCCAAAUACCAUUUACUAGAGUUUAACUACAGUAAUCCAAUAUUUGGUUUGAACAUGCAUCUUAAAUGUUGCCUUAGCUCAGCUAUUCCAGUAGCUUUAUUUGGAACAAAACCCAUGUAGCUGGGAAUUUCUAGGGAGGGACUUCAUGUAUUUGCACAAAGUAGUGAGGCUCAUGACCUGAUGAGAACUGCUGGUGGGUGAUGGCAGUUUAAGUGAUCCCUACAGUUCUGCUCAGUUGCACUGCUCUGGUUGCAUUCAAUUUCAAUACUAAGGAUGUGGUAACAACUAAAAACCUUCUACAGCGUGGAUCCAAACCCUUUUGAUACACUUCUCCCUCAAAGUCAGACAUUGGUCCUCUUCACCGCUCUUCAACUCCUCUUGCCCCCAGACCUGGGCAUCAUUCAUCAUUCCCAAACUUCAUUUUCUGCACCAGCUCAUACCACUCCAGACAGCAAGAACUUUGACACCAGCUUUCUUGAUGGUGCGAGUAAAUCCCAAGUUUUAUUUGUCUCACAACGCUUAAGACUAGGAGCUGUUGAAUGCAUUUGCCUCUCAUUUAUACUUUUUGUCAACAGACUUUUCAGAGACUUAGAGUACAAAUGAUGACACCACAGCCCGCAACUCAGUAGUUAUAAAAUGCACCUGAACCAUCUCACUCUAUUUUGUUGCUGCAAAAAAAAAAAAAA